Molecule: long non-coding RNA, 1716 nt
Organism: Papaver somniferum (opium poppy)
Lineage: Eukaryota; Viridiplantae; Streptophyta; Magnoliopsida; Ranunculales; Papaveraceae
Exons: 12
Source: RefSeq, a predicted model, not a curated record
UCGCUCACCACCUAUCUCUCACAACUUAAUAACUCUCUAUGUUUAGUCGAUUUUUUUCUCAAUCAUAACAAUUAUUCGCCUGUGAAUUAGGUUUUUCUUUCACUUCUUCUUCAAAGAGAUCCAUCACAAAUGAAAUUCUUAAACCUACAGUUUUGAGAUUUCUCUUAAUCGAAUCAGUAUAAAGAAAUCUAAGAAAAAGGGUUUUGAAUCAACGGCUUACUUCAUGAGAAACAACUUCUAAGGUAAUUGUGAUGGAGUUAGAUGAUGCUAUGAUACAACACUAGACCCUGAACAAGAAAAAGCUAGAGAAUUGUUGGGAGCUGCGAUAUGGGCUCAAAGAAAAAGAGUUACAAACCUACAAGCAGCGUAAGGGAAGUUAGUCUCUUUUCCCAAAUGUAUUUCUCACUACAUUACUUUAUGUUGCUGGAUUUUUAUCAGCCUGCUGACUUGUUGGAUUGUUCUUCUAGGUAACGACAACCACCUGUGGGGGACGAUCGGUUUCUUGCAUCAGUGAAUAUAAGAGGUAAUGAUGUGUGAUCUUGGACUAAGUUCAGAGCUGAAGUUGGCAUGCAAUUCUGCACUAAUGAAAGUUGUAGGGCCUAUAUCAUUGAUUUUGGACUGGCUAAAAUAUCGUGAGUCUACUACUAACCGCCAUAUUCCUUAUAGAUGCAAUGUAGCCGUAAAAUGUGUAACAAUUAAUCCCAGUAGAAGGAUCAAUGUAAUUAACUCAUCUGUGUUGCGUCACAUGAGUGCCAUCGUGGAGCAAAAUCCUAUUUCUGCACCUCAACAAGAUAGUGGAAAAUGUUGAAAGUACCAUGCUGCUGUUGAGUGGGCGCUGGGUUCAAGAUGACAAAAAAGAUAUUCCUCCCCAUGUCCGAGUGAAAACUUUGCUGCAUCACAACUUCUAUGAGUGACGGAAAAUGGAUCUUUUUGGCUGUGCUCUGGCUCAAGUUGAUGUGCUGGAUAUGCGCCACUUCGACACAAUUAUCAUAGACUUAGCCUGUCCGUACUCCAAGACAAACUUGCCACUGGGAAGGUGACGAGUUGUAUCAUUUUUUGCAGAGUCUCGCUCAAUGAAUCAUCUCAUGACCGGUCUACAUGUAGUGUGUUCUCGAUCUUCUUCUGCCCUCAGUUCUUGGAGGUGUUGUAGAUGUUGGAAACUCUUAUCUGCACUUGCUCGUUUGUUACUAAUUUGAGUUGCUGGAUACACUUGCUGGAUCCUCUUUGCUGGGCAGGAUGAUAACAAGUAAAGCCUGUCUUCAUGGAAGACAUUGUGACCUACGAAUUCACUUACUUGAAUUCCCUAGAUAUGGUGUAUGUGAAUGAUCAGUUCUUGAUCUGGGAUCCCGAACAUCAGAUUAUGACAGGAUAGUAUCAUUCCGAGUAUACCAUUCCUUGUUCAUGCACAAUACUGAUAUUGUGGCCAUAUAUGUGCAAAUAUGCUUUGCUUGAAGUAUCCUUUGUAUUGGAGCCCUUUUGUCAUAUUUCAAGUGGAAGCUUACUUCUUCACUAAAGAGGAUGAAGUUGUUGCUGGAAGUGCUCUUGCAGACAUGAUACUCAAAGAAACCAAUCUAUACUAGUGUUGCUGGAAGUGCUCUUGUACAAUUGAAAUUAAUGAGUGUAUUUUCAAAGUUUUAAUAUGUUAAUCUGGGGUAAUAUUUAGAUGUUGAGGUUGUAAACUGAAUCUACCUUUUAAUAUAAAUGUUAACUUUGUUU